CCUACGGGUGGCAGCAGUCGAGAAUUAUUCACAAUGGGGGAAACCCUGAUGGUGCGACGCCGCGUGGGGGAAUGAAGGUCUUCGGAUUGUAAACCCCUGUCAUGUGGGAGCAAAUUAAAAAGAUAGUACCACAAGAGGAAGAGACGGCUAACUCUGUGCCAGCAGCCGCGGUAAUACAGAGGUCUCAAGCGUUGUUCGGAAUCACUGGGCGUAAGGCGUGCGUAGGCUGUUUCGUAGGUCGUGUGUGAAAGGCGCGGGCUCAACCCGCGGACGGCACAUGAUACUGCGAGACUAGAGUAAUGGAGGGGGAACCGGAAUUCUCGGUGUAGCAGUGAAAUGCGUAGAUAUCGAGAGGAACACUCGUGGCGAAGGCGGGUUCCUGGACAUUAACUGACGCUGAGGCACGAAGGCCAGGGGAGCGAAAGGGAUCAGAUACCCGAGUAGUC
RNAcentral lists this ribosomal RNA (446 nucleotides) under uncultured bacterium. RNAcentral describes it as "partial 16S ribosomal RNA". It matches the Rfam family "Bacterial small subunit ribosomal RNA", at positions 338 to 795 of the family's 1533-position model. The record is from RNAcentral.